Long non-coding RNA from Scylla paramamosain (green mud crab), 1261 nucleotides. RefSeq lists it as uncharacterized. The transcript has 5 exons. Lineage: Eukaryota; Metazoa; Arthropoda; Malacostraca; Decapoda; Portunidae. The record is from RefSeq and is a predicted model, not a curated record.
UGUGUAUGCGUAUGUGUGUGUGUUUGUGUCUGUGUGUGUCUGUAUGUGUGUGUGUGUGUGUGUGUAUAUAUAUAUGUAUGCGUAUGCGUAUGUGUGUGUGUGUGUGUGUCCGCCUCUAUUCCAUGAUAAAUAGCAUUAUAUUCUCUCUUCUCUUCUCCCCUUUUGCUAUUAAGUAUCAAGUAUUUUCCAGGUAUUUCCAGUGUUUUCCAGGUAGUGUCGUAGGUUGAAGCCAGACCUCUGCUACCUGUCACUACUAAACUCACCUUAAUUGACCUCCUGUGCCUCUGUGGUCCCGUUCCCUGGUGUUUAAAUGAAAAGAGGACACACACACACAACCGCACUGCACGGUGUUUCCCAGGUACACUGAGGAAGACAAUAAAAAAUAAAUAAAUCUGCUGUCUCUCAAUAUUUAUCGUAAUUUACAGUGUUUUGUUGUGUGAGGAGCAGACUACUGGGGUGAUUUGUGCACAGGUGGACUUGGAAUCUCUCAGGGGAAACUACAUGUAGUAAUUGAAUUAAAAUGGCUAGAACCAGAGGAUGGGGUUGUGCGUCCCCGGGAGUUCAGAGGGUGCCGGCGCUUCAACUGAUGGUGUGGACCCAUGAGACAGAGGCUCCACCAGGUGAGCGGUCACAGGGCCAACCCACUUCCUGCCGACACUUGAUUUGGGGCUUCGGAAAACAAGGGCACAAGGGUACAAGGGUCAGCCUUGUACCUGCGCCGUCCACGAGUGCCCUCACCGGCCUGUCAUUGCACGUUGUCAGGGAAGCAAGAACGUGGAGGCUAGAGUAACAGGGGAACGAGCGGUGGCCAUCAGGGACGUGAGAGGCCUCCAGCAGUAUGCCUGGAGAUACUUGUGUGUGGAUGAGGGACGCAGACUCAAGAACCACAAGUGUAGGCUGACCAAGGUAACAGGGACGUGAGGGGUCUCCAGCAGCAUGCCUGAAGAUACUUGUGUGUGGACGAGGGACACACACUCAUUGGCUAUUGUAGGCUGUAUCUCUCUCUCUCUCUCUCUCUCUCUCUCUCUCUCUCUCUCUCUCUCUCUCUCUCUCUCUCUCUCUCUCUCUCUCUCUCUCGGCGAGAUAGCAAGGUACACACACCACCACCCCUCACACACACACACACACACACACACACACACACACACACACACACACACACACACACACAGCCCCCUCCCCCUCUCCCCCCUUUAUCGUAACGUACAAACAGGACUAAACGUGUUACCAAUGCCAGCAAUGUAAACAAAACCACGUGACU